RNAcentral lists this long non-coding RNA (3356 nucleotides) under Sus scrofa (pig). RNAcentral describes it as "lncRNA (ENSSSCG00000060733.1)". Lineage: Eukaryota; Metazoa; Chordata; Mammalia; Artiodactyla; Suidae. The record is from RNAcentral.
AGAACGUCCGCCCCACCCAAGAUGCCCUCUGCUGUCACUCGUACCACGUGCCAGGUCGGCCGAGCGCCCAGCAGCGCAGAUGGGUCUGGGAAGAGGCAGCUCCGGGGGGUGGCGGCUGCAUCACGUGGUGCCCUCCUGGGUCCUGUGAUGGCCACUGGGCACCAAGCAGCCCCUCCCCCUGUCUCUGCGGUGGGGCCCGUGGUCUGUGCUCGGGAGCCGGGCCCGCCCCGGGCUGCCCCGCACGCAGGCUGCCCUCCCGGCUGUGGUGUGAGCAGAGCGCUGGGCUGGAGGCAGGAGACAUGAAUCGCAUCCCAGGACACGCAGGCGCCUAGCGGCCUCUUUGAUGCCCACCGAGACAGCGAGUGGCCGGGGCUACGGCAGAUGCCCAGGCGGCAGAGAGGGAGGCGGGUAGCUCCAGCUGCGUAAGGCUGAGGUCCCUGUCCCCGGCCCCGGCUGCCUGAGCUGCACCCAGGGGGCAGGUGUGGGCUGGGGUGGGGUCCGAGGUGAAGGCCAGGGGAGACGCAGCUGUGUUUCCUCCUCGCCAGUCCCUCCCUCCCACUCUGAGUGCGGGCUGGGGGGUCUGACUGUGCCGGUUUCUGAGCAGCAAGAGGGCUCCUUGGUAGCUUGUGCAUGAAGUCCAGGUCGUCUCGGGGGAGAGGAGAGGGCUGACCUCAGAGGGUGGGUACGCAGGGGAGGGGUGGGGAGGUGCUACCCGCUCGCCUGCCAGGCCCCUUAAACCAGCCGUUUGGGGUUGAGCUCAAAGUGGGAACCUUCCUCCGCUCAUGUACCACCUCGCACUAACUGCUAAUAAAGCGGCGUUCUGUUUGUACGCAGUGGUCACUCACGUCUGUCUGUCCGUCUGUCUGUCUGUCUGAGGUCUUUGCAAGGCCGCAGGGGGGGUCGGACAGGGCGGUGUUCGCACAGACGGCCCGUCUGGGGACUGUCAAAAACCAGAGGUCCACCCCGUGGAUCGGAACCAAGCGGGUCAGGGUGGCAGAGGCCUGAGCCGGGACAGCCCAGUGGGGUGCGACCCGUGCACCUGCCCUGGCACAGCCCCCCGCAUCGCGAGACACCCCACUCCACGCAACCCCCGCGUGGCUGCGUGGUUCCCGCGGGUUCUCCUGCAGAGGAGCGUGCAGAGAACAACUUUGGGAAAAACAAGCGACUUCCUGCCCGUCCAGCCUGAUGGAGGGAGAGGCAGACGCAGAGGCAGGGAGCAGCGAGGGGGUCGGAGCUGCUCCGGCAGAGUCCCCAGCAGAACUCUCCAAGCUGCACACGCCCAGGCUCCCCGGCCCCGUCCACUCAGUCGGAACCUCUGCGAGGGCAACCCAGAGCUGCGGCUUCUCAGCAGGCUCGCUGCUGCACCGUGAGUGGGGGGAGCAGUGAAUCAGGCCCUCGAGUGCGAACCAGAGAAGGGCCACGACGUGGCGGCUGCCGUGGGUGCGCCGGGACGCAGCCGGGACACAGCUGCGCACACAAGGGCGGCUCCUGCAGACACCCGUUCCCAAAGGGGCAGGGGUCAUGAGGCCACCACAGAACCCGUGUGGAGGCCGCCUUGAUGGGCGCAGGGGAUCUGGGAGACGCAGACGGGCGUCUCUGCCCAGGGAGCCCUCAGGAAACCUGAGGAGUUUCCACUUGAAAACCUCCCCUCCCCUCGGCCGCCCUGCGGCGCAUGGAGUUAGUUCAGAUCCAAGCUGCAGCUGGGACCUGUGCCACAGCACCGGAUCCCUCAACCCUCUGUGGCAAGGCUGGGCAUCAGACCUGCACCCUGGUACUGCCGACAUGCCCCUCAACCUAUUGCGCCAGAGCGGGAACUCCCCACAGCCCCAGAACCCUGAGAGCCCCAGAAACACUGAAGGCCCAGCCCAGGUGCUCCCCGAGGUCCCAGGCGGCCUGCAGAUCUCAGGGCCCCUGGGCCCUCCCCAUCCCCGUGAGGCAGCCCCUCGGGGGACGUGGCGCCCCAGGAGUGGCCCCACAUCCGGGAAGUGCCCCUUUCCCUGGAAGAGUCCUUGAUGGGGUGCCCCGCAGCGAGGUUCGUAAUAGCAAAGCAAGGUGUCCAGCCACAGGGGUCAGCUCCACAGCCACUCGUGUGGCCGCCUGCUGGAAGGUGGUGACGCGGUCGAGAAUACUGAGCCCAGUGUCUGCGUCCUGCCGCUACGUUUCUCCAAGACGGACUUACAGUGACCAUUUGUAGAAAGAGAACUCGCGCCAUGGUACUUACAACCCCAGCAGUGAAGCACGCGCUCUCCCUCCCUCUCCCGCUCUCUCCCCCCCCCACCUCUCCCUCGCUCCUCUCUCCCUCUCUCUCCCCCACCUCUCUCUCUUCCUCCGUCUCUCUCCCCCCCUCCCCCCCUCCCCCUCCCCCUCCCUCUCUCUCCCCCCUCCCCCUCCCUCUCUCUCCCCCUCCCCCUCCCUCUCUCUCCCCCCUCCCCCUCCCUCUCUCUCCCCCCUCUCCCUCCCUCUCUCUCUCCCCCCCUCUCUCUCCCUCCCUCCCUCCCCCCCUUUCACCAAACUGAGAACUGGCUCCUUCUGAAAGAGGGGGAGGGAAAGGGGAGCAGUGGAUGUCACAGAGGACUUGAGCUUCGGCUGAAAUGUUUGAGUUAAAGCACAGAUGACGUGUCCUCUGUGGAAUGAAAACGGUUUUUAAAAAAAAGUAGCUAGAAAAGGGUGAAGCAGAAAGAGUGGGGUUUGGGGGGGGUCUGGGCAGCUGGACUGCUGUGCCAUGAAGGCGACCCGGCCGCCACCCGUGGGCAGCCAGACCGCAGGGUCCAAGGAUGCCCCUGCCUAGGGGUCUUGCUUUGCGGCAGCGCCCCGAGCUCUGACGGAGCCCGAGCUGAGGAGCCCGACUGGCAGUGUGACGGCGCGCUGCUCGGCUCCCACACGCUCGCAGACACAUGCGCAGUGACCACCAGGGCUGGGACAAACAUGGCACGCCCGAGAAGGACAUAACUGAUGCCCGUGAAAUUCCCGACAAACACGCAACAGGAAUCCAGCCGAGAGGAGCAGCGGCUCGUCCGCGCGCUGGGACAGGUUGCGCGGUAACUGGCCUGAGCUCUAAGCGUCAAGGUCGCAGAAGACAAAGGCUGAGAAGUGGUUCAAGAUGAAGGGAGACCGAAGAGACCCAGCAGUCACACUUCUUUUGGGACCCUGGAGGGAAGCAGUUGCCUAGAAAGAGCACCAUGCUGCUAACUGCAAAUUGUGAAUGGAUUGUGUGGACUGGCUCAUGGCAUUGUAUCGAUGCUAUGUUUCCUGAUUUUCAUUGUUGGACUGUUAUGCAAGAGUAUAUCAUUGCUCUUAAGUGGUAUAUGCUGAAAUACUGGUGCCUAAAAUGGAAGAAAUAAAGCUGAAUUUUGACU